RNAcentral lists this ribosomal RNA (452 nucleotides) under Apanteles jason. RNAcentral describes it as "partial 28S ribosomal RNA". Lineage: Eukaryota; Metazoa; Arthropoda; Insecta; Hymenoptera; Braconidae. The record is from RNAcentral.
AAGAGUACGUGAAACCGUUCAGGGGUAAACCUGUGAAACCCAAAAGAUCGAAUGAGGAGAUUCAUCGUCAGCGUAUUCAGUAUUAAUGCAGGCUAUGAUGUGAUAAUAGAAUCCUUGUGGUCACUAGAUUAUACUUGCUUGUAUUAUUUUUGCUGGGUAUGUCGGCGUGCACUUCUCCUCUAGUAGAACGUCGCAACCCGUUGGAUGUUUAUCUAUGGCCUGAUUGGUAGCCUUUGAUAUUUUGUGUAUCGAAGACCUUUUGGUGUCCUGAUAAACUGUCUGACGGUAUACAUAUAGUAUUGAGCCGCAAUUAUUUGCGUUAGACUUAUCGCAAGUAAGGCUUUAUUCUGGUAGUGCGGAUCUGAUGCCGUCGCUGGACAAAGUCUGCUGUUAGCUGUGUAAUGUCUUUAACUGGCUUAUUUACUGGUUAGCGAUGCUACUGCUUUGGGUAC